AUCAUUUAAAUAAUUAGUUUACGGUGUAAGAUGAGUAUGCGUCCCAUUAGUUUGUUGGUAAGGUAACGGCUUACCAAGACUACGAUGGGUAGGGGCCCUGAGAGGGGGAUCCCCCACACUGGUACUGAGACACGGACCAGACUCCUACGGGAGGCAGCAGUGAGGAAUAUUGGACAAUGGAGGAGACUCUGAUCCAGCCAUGCCGCGUGCAGGAAGACGGUCCUAUGGAUUGUAAACUGCUUUUAUACAGGAAGAAUAAGGACUACGUGUAGUCUGGUGACGGUACUGUAAGAAUAAGGACCGGCUAACUCCGUGCCAGCAGCCGCGGUAAUACGGAGGGUCCGAGCGUUAUCCGGAAUUAUUGGGUUUAAAGGGUCCGUAGGCGGGCUGUUAAGUCAGGGGUGAAAGUUUGCAGCUCAACUGUAGAAUUGCCUUUGAUACUGAUGGUCUUGAAUUAUUGUGAAGUGGUUAGAAUAUGUAGUGUAGCGGUGAAAUGCAUAGAUAUUACAUAGAAUACCGAUUGCGAAGGCAGAUCACUAACAAUUGAUUGACGCUGAUGGACGAAAGCGUGGGUAGCGAACAGGAUUAGAUACCCUGGUAGUCCACGCCGUAAACGAUGGAUACUAGCUGUUUGGAUUUCGAUCUGAGCGGCCAAGCGAAAGUGAUAAGUAUCCCACCUGGGGAGUACGUUCGCAAGAAUGAAACUCAAAGG
RNAcentral lists this ribosomal RNA (712 nucleotides) under Cellulophaga sp. TBL_76. RNAcentral describes it as "bacterial SSU rRNA". It matches the Rfam family "Bacterial small subunit ribosomal RNA", at positions 196 to 907 of the family's 1533-position model. The record is from RNAcentral. Lineage: Bacteria; Pseudomonadati; Bacteroidota; Flavobacteriia; Flavobacteriales; Flavobacteriaceae.